GUCUAUGGCCAUGCUACCCUGAACAAGCCCGAUCCCGUCUGACCUUAAAAGCUAAGCAGGGUCACGUCUGGUUAGUACUUGGAUGAGAGACCACCUAGGAAAACCAGGUGCUGUAGGUG
This 119-nucleotide ribosomal RNA is filed under the name Pteropus alecto (black flying fox). Lineage: Eukaryota; Metazoa; Chordata; Mammalia; Chiroptera; Pteropodidae. The record is from RNAcentral.